CACGUAGGCGGCGCCGCAAGUCAGGGGUGAAAUCCCGGGGCUCAACCCCGGAACUGCCCUUGAAACUGCGGUGCUAGAAUCUUGGAGAGGCGAGUGGAAUUCCGAGUGUAGAGGUGAAAUUCGUAGAUAUUCGGAAGAACACCAGUGGCGAAGGCGACUCGCUGGACAAGUAUUGACGCUGAGGUGCGAAAGCGUGGGAGCAAACA
This 206-nucleotide ribosomal RNA is filed under the name uncultured bacterium. Its description in RNAcentral is "partial 16S ribosomal RNA". It matches the Rfam family "Bacterial small subunit ribosomal RNA", at positions 568 to 774 of the family's 1533-position model. The record is from RNAcentral.